This 468-nucleotide ribosomal RNA is filed under the name uncultured bacterium. Its description in RNAcentral is "partial 16S ribosomal RNA". It matches the Rfam family "Bacterial small subunit ribosomal RNA", at positions 28 to 507 of the family's 1533-position model. The record is from RNAcentral.
GACGAACGCUGGCGGCGUGCUUAACACAUGCAAGUCGAACGGAAAGGCCCUGCUUUUGUGGGGUGCUCGAGUGGCGAACGGGUGAGUAACACGUGAGUAACCUGCCCUUGACUUUGGGAUAACUUCAGGAAACUGGGGCUAAUACCGGAUAGGAGCUCCUGCUGCAUGGUGGGGGUUGGAAAGUUUCGGCGGUUGGGGAUGGACUCGCGGCUUAUCAGCUUGUUGGUGGGGUAGUGGCUUACCAAGGUUUUGACGGGUAGCCGGCCUGAGAGGGUGACCGGCCACAUUGGGACUGAGAUACGGCCCAGACUCCUACGGGAGGCAGCAGUGGGGAAUAUUGCACAAUGGGCGGAAGCCUGAGGCAGCAACGCCGCGUGCGGGAUGACGGCCUUCGGGUUGUAAACCGCUUUCGCCUGUGACGAAGCGUGAGUGACGGUAAUGGGUAAAGAAGCACCGGCUAACUACGUG